AGCCAUGACAGUGGUAUGUUUGUACUCCUGCUCCGUGCCCUAGAAUGUUCCAAUGGGCACUCUGCAGCUGCUCAGGAGAGAGACUUCCACGCUCAGUGUGCCCCCGACUGCCACCCUCCAUGUUCACAGACAUCCUCGUCCUUCUCACUGCCACUUAGCUACCCACCCUUCCUCCUGACUCCUCUUCACUUUCCUUUUAUUUUUUUUGAGGCGGAGUCUCACUCUGUCAAACAGGCAGAAGUGCAGUGGUGUGAUCUUGGCUCACUGCAACCUCCACCUCCCAGGUUCAAGUGAUCCUCCUGCCUCAGCCUCCCGAGUAGCUGGGAUUACAGGUGCCCACCACCACGCCAGGCUAAUUUUGUAUUUUUAGUAGAGAUCGUGUUUCGCCAUGUUGGCCAGGCUGGUCUCGAACUCCUGACCUCAAGUGAUCCGCCCACCUCAGCCUCCCAAAGUGCUGCAAUUACAGGCGUGAGCCACUGCGCCCAGCUCCUCUUUGCUUUUCUUUUUGGCCCUGCAAAGACUACAAUAAUCAGCCUGUGACUAUCUUCACGGAGCUCAUCCAUCCAACCCUACUAACACGAAGACUCCUAUGAAAAACAAGUCAAGUGUUCCAGGAAGGAGAAGAUCCUUCCCUUGCUACUGGCAAGAUGUAUGCAUAUUCCGGAUCCCAGGCCCCUGACCAACAGCUCAUGGACAGCACCAGAGAGGGGACCGCACUUGAAAGAGCACUGCUCCAGCAAAUGAUGAGGUGGUUCUGCCUAUCUGACUGAGUUAACACAGACCUGCUGAGCCAGUUUUCUGCCAAAUUACCACAAUGAAGAAGAAAUGAGUGUCCAGGACCAUCCAGAAAACGAGGCGCAAGGAUUGAGGCCAGUGGUAUGUGACAAUUACUAUUCUGCCAAAGUAAAUUUAGAAGCUGAAAGAUAGGAUGCCACUUCUGAAGAUAUGCGGCUGUUUUUAUGCCCUGAAGCUUAGCUCUCCGCACCACACUUCAUGGGACUCGCUGACCUUUAAGUCCCUUUCAACCUUGAGAUUUGAUUCUGUAACUAG
This 1050-nucleotide long non-coding RNA is filed under the name Homo sapiens (human). RNAcentral's name for it is "HSALNT0101554". Lineage: Eukaryota; Metazoa; Chordata; Mammalia; Primates; Hominidae. The record is from RNAcentral.